This 987-nucleotide ribosomal RNA is filed under the name human gut metagenome. RNAcentral's name for it is "bacterial LSU rRNA". It matches the Rfam family "Bacterial large subunit ribosomal RNA", at positions 1938 to 2925 of the family's 2925-position model. The record is from RNAcentral.
AACUAUAACGGUCCUAAGGUAGCGAAAUUCCUUGUCGGGUAAGUUCCGACCCGCACGAAAGGCGUAAUGAUUUGGGCACUGUCUCGACAAUGCACCCGGUGAAAUUGAAAUACCAGUGAAGAUGCUGGUUACCUGCGCCAGGACGGAAAGACCCCAUGGAGCUUUACUCUAGCUUGAUACUGGGAUUCGGUAUUGCAUGUACAGGAUAGGUGGGAGACUAAGAGGUGAUGACGCCAGUUGUCACGGAGUCGAUGUUGGGAUACCACCCCUGCAGUACUGGGUUUCUAACCUGCGGCCGUGACCCGGCCGGGGGACAAUGUCUGGUGGGGAGUUUGACUGGGGCGGUCGCCUCCGAAAGGGUAUCGGAGGCGCUCAAAGGUUCCCUCAGAAUGGUCGGAAACCAUUCGAAGAGUGCAAAGGCAGAAGGGAGCUUGACUGCGACACCGACGGGUGGAGCAGGUACGAAAGUAGGACUUAGUGAUCCGGUGGUAUGAAAGUGGGAUUGCCAUCGCUCAACGGAUAAAAGCUACCCUGGGGAUAACAGGCUUAUCACUCCCAAGAGUUCACAUCGACGGAGUGGUUUGGCACCUCGAUGUCGGCUCAUCGCAUCCUGGGGCUGUAGUAGGUCCCAAGGGUUGGGCUGUUCGCCCAUUAAAGCGGUACGCGAGCUGGGUUCAGAACGUCGUGAGACAGUUCGGUCCCUAUCCGGCGUGGGCGUAGGAUAUCUGAGAGGAGCUGUCCUUAGUACGAGAGGACCGGGAUGGACUGACCUCUGGUGUACCGGUUGAACCGCCAGGUUCACGGCCGGGUAGCCAAGUCGGGAAGGGAUAAACGCUGAAGGCAUCUAAGCGUGAAGCCCCCCUCAAGAUGAGAUAUCCCAUUCGAAAGAAGUAAGACCCCUUGAAGACGACGAGGUAGAUAGGGCAGAGGUGGAAGUGCCGUAAGGCAUGGAGCUGACUGUUACUAAUCGGUCGAGGGCUUGACCUA